Molecule: ribosomal RNA, 1905 nt
Filed under: human gut metagenome
Description: bacterial LSU rRNA
Rfam family: Bacterial large subunit ribosomal RNA
Source: RNAcentral
UGAAGUAAGUAAGGGCGUACGGUGAAUGCCUUGGUGCCAACAGGCGAAGAAGGACGCGGCAAGCUGCGAAAAACCUCGGGAAGCUGCAAGCAAGCGAUGAUCCGGGGGUGUCCGAAUGGGGUAACCUGACUGGGGUAAUACCUGGUCGUUCAUACCUGAAUACAUAGGGUAUGAAACGCAAUACCCGCUGAAGUGAAACAUCUCAGUAAGCGGAGGAAAAGAAAGAGAAAUCGAUUCCGUAAGUAGUGGCGAGCGAAAGCGGAUGGAGCCCAAACCGAAGGUACUCCUUCGGGGUUGUAGGACCACGACAUAUUCGACCAUAGUGGAUAGUAGAACAGUCUGGAAAGGCUGGCCAUAGAAGGUGAAAGCCCUGUAGACGAAAUCCAGAGUGGGAAUUAGUGGUAUCCUGAGUAAUACAUCACACGUGGAACGAUGUAUGAAUCAGCGCGGACCACCGCGCAAGGCUAAAUACUAGUUGGCGACCGAUAGUGAACAAGUACCGCGAGGGAAAGGUGAAAAGAACCGCUGUGAGCGGAGUGAAAUAGAACCUGAAACCGUAUGUCUACAAAGUGUCAGAGCAGAGCAAUCUGCGAUGGCGUGCCUUUUGUUUAAUGAGUCUGCGAGUCAGUGUUUGUGGCAAGACUAAGGGCUUCCGGCCCGGAGUCGCAGCGAAAGCAAGUCCGAAUAGGGCGCAUUAAGUCGCAGGUACUGGACCCGAAGCGGAGGUGACCUACCCUUGGCCAGGUUGAAGCAUGGGUAAAACCAUGUGGAGGACCGAACAGGUGAACGUUGAAAAGUUCUCUGAUGAGCUGAGGGUAGGAGUGAAAGGCUAAUCAAACCCCGUGAUAGCUGGUUCUCUUCGAAAUGCAUUUAGGUGCAGCGUCACGUGCUGAUGCGCGGGGGUAGAGCACUGACAAGGCUAGGGGGCACACCCGCUUACCAAACCUUAUCAAACUCCGAAUACCGUGCAAUGGAACGUGGCAGUGAGACAGUGGGGGAUAAGCUUCAUUGUCGAGAGGGAAACAACCCAGACCAGCAGCUAAGGUGCCUAAAUAACGCUGAGUGGAAAGGAUGUGGGAUUACACAGACAGUGAGGAUGUUGGCUUAGAAGCAGCCACCAUUUAAAAAAUGCGUAAUAGCUUACUCAUCGAGUGAUCCUGCGCCGAAAAUGAUUGGCGAUCAAGCGUUAUACCGAAGCUCUGGACUUUGCCGCAAGGCAGAGUGGUAGAAGAGCGUUGCAUGCGCAUUGAAGGGUGAUGGCGACUGACCCUGGAGCGCAUGCAAGUGAGUAUGCAGACAUGAGUAACGUAAAGCCGGGUGAAAUCCCCGGCCGCCGUAAACCCGAGGUUUCCAGGGCAACGUGUUUCGUCCCUGGGUUAGCCGGGACCUAAGCCGAGGCCGAGAGGCGUAGGCGAUGGAUAUCAGGUUAAUAAUCCUGAGCUCGCGACCCUUAAACUGGGGGGACGCAUGAGAAGAGAUGACCAGGUUAUUGAAUUCCGAGCUGGGUCCACGGACCCAGCGCAUCAUCAAAUCGAGUGCCAAGAAAAGCCCCAGCGUAUGCUAAGCGACCCGUACCGCAAACCGACACAGGUGGGUGGGUAGAAUAUACCAAGGCGUAAGAGUGAAACCUGGUUAAGGAACUCGGCAAAUUAGCCCCGUAACUUCGGAAGAAGGGGUGCCUGCAGCGAUGCAGGCCGCAGAGAAAUGGCCCAACCGACUGUUUAUCAAAAACACAGCACUCUGCAAAGACGCAAGUCGAAGUAUAGGGUGUGACACGUGACCAAUGCCGAAAGAUUAAGGCAAGGGGUUAGCCGCAAGGCGAAGCUCUGAACCCAAGUCCCGGUGAAUGUCGGCCGUAACUAUAACGGUCCUAAGGUAGCGAAAUUCCUUGUCGGGUAAGUUCCG